Molecule: ribosomal RNA, 729 nt
Filed under: bacterium EAB-M2.01
Lineage: Bacteria
Description: bacterial SSU rRNA
Rfam family: Bacterial small subunit ribosomal RNA
Source: RNAcentral
CUCAGGACGAACGCUGGCGGCGUGCCUAAUACAUGCAAGUCGAGCGGAUCUUGUCCUUCGGGACAAGAUUAGCGGCGGACGGGUGAGUAACACGUGGGUAACCUGCCUGUAAGACUGGGAUAACAUUCGGAAACGAAUGCUAAUACCGGAUACGCGGCUUGGUCGCAUGACCGAGCCGGGAAAGAUGGAGCAAUCUAUCACUUANNGAUGGACCCGCGGCGCAUUAGCUAGUUGGUGAGGUAACGGCUCACCAAGGCGACGAUGCGUAGCCGACCUGAGAGGGUGAUCGGCCACACUGGGACUGAGACACGGCCCAGACUCCUACGGGAGGCAGCAGUAGGGAAUCUUCCGCAAUGGACGAAAGUCUGACGGAGCAACGCCGCGUGAGUGAUGAAGGUUUUCGGAUCGUAAAGCUCUGUUGCCAGGGAAGAAUGCUUGGGAGAGUAACUGCUCUCAAGGUGACGGUACCUGAGAAGAAAGCCCCGGCUAACUACGUGCCAGCAGCCGCGGUAAUACGUAGGGGGCAAGCGUUGUCCGGAAUUAUUGGGCGUAAAGCGCGCGCAGGCGGCCUUGUAAGUCUGUUGUUUAAACUUGGGGCUCAACCCCAAGUCGCAAUGGAAACUGCAAAGCUUGAGUACAGAAGAGGAAAGUGGAAUUCCACGUGUAGCGGUGAAAUGCGUAGAGAUGUGGAGGAACACCAGUGGCGAAGGCGACUUUCUGGGCUGUAAC